CUUUCCCAUCGUAGGCGGCGGUUACCUUAGCAGGCGGCCGUAUAAGGCCCUCAAUCUCCAAGUAGUGAUGUCACAUUAACAAAAAUGAACCACUAGCACAACAAUCUUUAACUGUUCCUGACAGUAGUACUUAAGCGAGGGUGAAAAUAAAGCUCAGGAUAUAAAAAGUACGCAGUUUAGCCUGAAAGGCAAUGAAUUGAUAGCAUUACAAAGUAUUUACACAGUUACACUAGUAAGGUUUAUGCACGUAAAAAUUGUCGUCCACCAAAAUGUAGCAUGAAGCUACAAAGGAAACCCAUGUUUUUUUUUUUUUUUUUUUGUUUUUAGAGAAGUCUUGCAGUCAAAGAAAAAUUCAUCCUGGUUCAAGAUUUGUGCUUCUACCAUGCAGGAUUACAGGGAACCGAUUUGCCAUGACUAAGAAGUGGAUAUUGGAGCGUCAAGAACGCCGCCAAGUUGCUUGGUGUCCCCAAGGACGACGAAAGGUGCUGUGUUCGAAAUGAGAACAUUCACCAUACUAAGCCCCUGGAGCUGAAUGACGCUGUGUGUGAGCUACAAUUCCAAGCAAGUGCAGGUUCCGAUAAGCCAGUCGUGCCACCGGCACGUACUUGCACUCCCACUCCACUUGCCUGCUGCCUUGCAGAGGGACAUGAUGCCGCAACUUGACAUCUUGCCAAUCACUAGAUUUACAGCCCACAACACAACACGGGUGUUUCAUGGUGCUCGUGAAAAGAAGCCUCGAGACCACCACUGACUGCGCAGCUCACGUCAAUAUGGAGCAUGUAACACAAGCAUACAGCACUUGCUGUGUGCUGGAAAUGCUUGAGUGAAGUGAUAAAUUUUCGUGUAUUCCCUUUC
Dermacentor andersoni is the source of this 855-nucleotide long non-coding RNA. RefSeq lists it as uncharacterized. The record is from RefSeq and is a predicted model, not a curated record. NCBI's taxonomy places the organism in Eukaryota, Metazoa, Arthropoda, Arachnida, Ixodida, Ixodidae.